Molecule: ribosomal RNA, 250 nt
Filed under: uncultured bacterium
Lineage: Bacteria
Description: partial 16S ribosomal RNA
Rfam family: Bacterial small subunit ribosomal RNA
Source: RNAcentral
UACGUAGGUGGCGAGCGUUGUCCGGAAUUAUUGGGCGUAAAGAGCGUGUAGGUGGGAUAGUCAGUCUCAUUUAAAAGAUCGGGGCUCAACCCCGUUAGGGGUGAGAAACAGCUAUUCUUGAGUGCAGGAGAGGAAAGCGGAAUUCCCAGUGUAGCGGUGAAAUGCGUAGAUAUUGGGAGGAACACCAGUGGCGAAGGCGGCUUUCUGGACUGUGUCUGACACUGAGGCGCGAAAGCUAGGGGAGCGAACG